AACUUUUGACAACGGAUCUCUUGGUUCUCCCAUCGAUGAAGAACGCAGCGAAAUGCGAUAAGUAAUGUGAAUUGCAGAAUUCAGUGAAUCAUCGAAUCUUUGAACGCACCUUGCGCUCGUUGGUAUUCCGACGAGCAUGCCUGUUUGAGUGUCAU
Molecule: ribosomal RNA, 155 nt
Filed under: Tilletiopsis sp. Vega179
Lineage: Eukaryota; Fungi; Basidiomycota; Exobasidiomycetes; Entylomatales
Description: 5.8S ribosomal RNA
Rfam family: 5.8S ribosomal RNA
About the family: 5.8S ribosomal RNA (5.8S rRNA) is a component of the large subunit of the eukaryotic ribosome. It is transcribed by RNA polymerase I as part of the 45S precursor that also contains 18S and 28S rRNA.
Source: RNAcentral